AGCUUCACGUUUCUCAGAGGACCUGCAAGACUGCUCUCAACCUACUUCGCCUGAUUUGCUUUGUUGGAGCCACACAGAUGUCUACACAACAUCAAAAUGCCCCUCUCCAGCCCCAAUCAUCUUUCACUUUCACAGGUGAACACCCUCUUAAAACAGCGACAGGCAAGUGUGCUGUUGUCUCUGGAAAAAAGGUUGUUUUUAAAAGACAAAAUGCAAAACAUGAACCAAAAUGGAAAGUAUGGAAACUCAGGAAAGGUGAAGCCCAGGGCAGAAUUUGUCUGGUGUUUGUAUGGCAUCACAGGAGUGAAGAUCAUAUCCUCAUUCAGAAUGGAAAUACGGUGAAGCUCAAGCGUGUCCCUAAUUUUGAGAAAAAUAUAAAGGGAUACCUGAAUUAUACUGAAUGUCAUUUUCAUUGGUGCAAUCUGAAUGGAAAUAAAGGCAGUUUGCAGUGUGCAGCAGCAAAGGAUUUAUACUUGGCAAUUGGCAAACGUUGGCUGAUUGCCAGCAAAACAGCAGAGCCAGCACUGUUCGAGUUGAUUUAGAUGUUGAUUUACCACAAAUCACAUAUCUUUAAUUCCCCUCUUGCAACUGUUUUAAUUAAAUCAUAUUUGUUUUAUUGUGUUUUAUUACUCUUUUAUUUAUUUUGUCUUAACCCUCCAUGGCAUGAAUUUAAUUUUUUUUCGUAGAAAAAAUAUUUUGCCCCAUCUUUAGAGAGCUUGGGGGUCCCUGUAGGAGAGUGUUUUUCAUCUCAAUUUCAUUUCAAGGUUCAACUUCAUGCUUAUGCAUUAGACUAGGCAUACUAAGUUCUCUCCCUAAUCCUAGACUUUCACAUUGCUUGUUUGUUUGUAAUGGAUGCAAAA
Molecule: long non-coding RNA, 860 nt
Organism: Alosa sapidissima (American shad)
Lineage: Eukaryota; Metazoa; Chordata; Actinopteri; Clupeiformes; Clupeidae
Exons: 3
Source: RefSeq, a predicted model, not a curated record